AUCCUGUCUGAAUAUGGGGGGACCAUCCUCCAAGGCUAAAUACUCCUGACUGACCGAUAGUGAACCAGUACCGUGAGGGAAAGGCGAAAAGAACCCCGGCGAGGGGAGUGAAAAAGAACCUGAAACCGUGUACGUACAAGCAGUGGGAGCACGCUUAGGCGUGUGACUGCGUACCUUUUGUAUAAUGGGUCAGCGACUUAUAUUCUGUAGCAAGGUUAACCGAAUAGGGGAGCCGAAGGGAAACCGAGUCUUAACUGGGCGUUAAGUUGCAGGGUAUAGACCCGAAACCCGGUGAUCUAGCCAUGGGCAGGUUGAAGGUUGGGUAACACUAACUGGAGGACCGAACCGACUAAUGUUGAAAAAUUAGCGGAUGACUUGUGGCUGGGGGUGAAAGGCCAAUCAAACCGGGAGAUAGCUGGUUCUCCCCGAAAGCUAUUUAGGUAGCGCCUCGUGAAUUCAUCUCCGGGGGUAGAGCACUGUUUCGGCAAGGGGGUCAUCCCGACUUACCAACCCGAUGCAAACUGCGAAUACCGGAGAAUGUUAUCACGGGAGACACACGGCGGGUGCUAACGUCCGUCGUGAAGAGGGAAACAACCCAGACCGCCAGCUAAGGUCCCAAAGUCAUGGUUAAGUGGGAAACGAUGUGGGAAGGCCCAGACAGCCAGGAUGUUGGCUUAGAAGCAGCCAUCAUUUAAAGAAAGCGUAAUAGCUCACUGGUCGAGUCGGCCUGCGCGGAAGAUGUAACGGGGCUAAACCAUGCACCGAAGCUGCGGCAGCGACGCUUAUGCGUUGUUGGGUAGGGGAGCGUUCUGUAAGCCUGCGAAGGUGUGCUGUGAGGCAUGCUGGAGGUAUCAGAAGUGCGAAUGCUGACAUAAGUAACGAUAAAGCGGGUGAAAAGCCCGCUCGCCGGAAGACCAAGGGUUCCUGUCCAACGUUAAUCGGGGCAGGGUGAGUCGACCCCUAAGGCGAGGCCGAAAGGCGUAGUCGAUGGGAAACAGGUUAAUAUUCCUGUACUUGGUGUUACUGCGAAGGGGGGACGGAGAAGGCUAUGUUGGCCGGGCGACGGUUGUCCCGGUUUAAGCGUGUAGGCUGGUUUUCCAGGCAAAUCCGGAAAAUCAAGGCUGAGGCGUGAUGACGAGGCACUACGGUGCUGAAGCAACAAAUGCCCUGCUUCCAGGAAAAGCCUCUAAGCAUCAGGUAACAUCAAAUCGUACCCCAAACCGACACAGGUGGUCAGGUAGAGAAUACCAAGGCGCUUGAGAGAACUCGGGUGAAGGAACUAGGCAAAAUGGUGCCGUAACUUCGGGAGAAGGCACGCUGAUAUGUAGGUGAAGUCCCUUGCGGAUGGAGCUGAAAUCAGUCGAAGAUACCAGCUGGCUGCAACUGUUUAUUAAAAACACAGCACUGUGCAAACACGAAAGUGGACGUAUACGGUGUGACGCCUGCCCGGUGCCGGAAGGUUAAUUGAUGGGGUCAGCGCAAGCGAAGCUCUUGAUCGAAGCCCCGGUAAACGGCGGCCGUAACUAUAACGGUCCUAAGGUAGCGAAAUUCCUUGUCGGGUAAGUUCCGACCUGCACGAAUGGCGUAAUGAUGGCCAGGCUGUCUCCACCCGAGACUCAGUGAAAUUGAACUCGCUGUGAAGAUGCAGUGUACCCGCGGCAAGACGGAAAGACCCCGUGAACCUUUACUAUAGCUUGACACUGAACAUUGAGCCUUGAUGUGUAGGAUAGGUGGGAGGCUUUGAAGUGUGGACGCCAGUCUGCAUGGAGCCGGCCUUGAAAUACCACCCUUUAAUGUUUGAUGUUCUAACGUGGACCCGUGAUCCGGGUUGCGGACAGUGUCUGGUGGGUAGUUUGACUGGGGCGGUCUCCUCCUAAAGAGUAACGGAGGAGCACGAAGGUUGGCUAAUCCUGGUCGGACAUCAGGAGGUUAGUGCAAUGGCAUAAGCCAGCUUGACUGCGAGCGUGACGGCGCGAGCAGGUGCGAAAGCAGGUCAUAGUGAUCCGGUGGUUCUGAAUGGAAGGGCCAUCGCUCAACGGAUAAAAGGUACUCCGGGGAUAACAGGCUGAUACCGCCCAAGAGUUCAUAUCGACGGCGGUGUUUGGCACCUCGAUGUCGGCUCAUCACAUCCUGGGGCUGAAGUAGGUCCCAAGGGUAUGGCUGUUCGCCAUUUAAAGUGGUACGCGAGCUGGGUUUAGAACGUCGUGAGACAGUUC
Molecule: ribosomal RNA, 2216 nt
Filed under: Shigella sonnei
Lineage: Bacteria; Pseudomonadati; Pseudomonadota; Gammaproteobacteria; Enterobacterales; Enterobacteriaceae
Description: partial 23S ribosomal RNA
Rfam family: Bacterial large subunit ribosomal RNA
Source: RNAcentral